RNAcentral lists this long non-coding RNA (317 nucleotides) under Elaeis guineensis (African oil palm). RNAcentral's name for it is "long non-coding RNA (EGUI_LNC065308)". The record is from RNAcentral. Lineage: Eukaryota; Viridiplantae; Streptophyta; Magnoliopsida; Arecales; Arecaceae.
UGCAUCAAUCUUAUCGGAUCAACACUAUCUCCAUGAUGAUCCUAUGAUCAGAAGUAAUUUAGAAAUUGACCAUCAAUAAUACAUAUCUCAAAUUUUCAACUCUUGAGAAUAUAUGUUAUCAUCUCGUUAAUUUGCUGGAUGAUUCAUAGACAUAUACACUACAUGAAUAGAAUUAACUAUCCUAAUUAAUUAAGUCAAGUACAAAAUUAUAUCCUAAGCGGUCAACUCCUGCAAGCUAGGCUAACAAGUCGACAACACACCUGAAUAGCUAGCUCUGUUCGAUCAGAAGAUGAUUGUUAGCUGAUUACUUUCGACCG